RNAcentral lists this ribosomal RNA (506 nucleotides) under uncultured bacterium. Its description in RNAcentral is "partial 16S ribosomal RNA". It matches the Rfam family "Bacterial small subunit ribosomal RNA", at positions 30 to 523 of the family's 1533-position model. The record is from RNAcentral.
AUUGAACGCUGGCGGCAGGCCUAACACAUGCAAGUCGAACGGUAACAGGAAGCAGCUUGCUGCUUCGCUGACGAGUGGCGGACGGGUGAGUAAUGCCUGGGAAACUGCCUGAUGGAGGGGGAUAACUACUGGAAACGGUAGCUAAUACCGCAUAACGUCGCAAGACCAAAGAGGGGGACCUUCGGGCCUCUUGCCAUCGGGUGUGCCCAGAUGGGAUUAGCUAGUAGGUGGGGUAACGGCUCACCUAGGCGACGAUCCCUAGCUGGUCUGAGGGGAUGACCAGCCACACUGGAACUGAGACACGGUCCAGACUCCUACGGGAGGCAGCAGUGGGGAAUAUUGCACAAUGGGCGCAAGCCUGAUGCAGCCAUGCCGCGUGUAUGAAGAAGGCCUUCGGGUUGUAAAGUACUUUCAGCGGGGAGGAAGGGAGUAAAGUUAAUACCUUUGCUCAUUGACGUUACCCGCAGAAGAAGCACCGGCUAACUCCGUGCCAGCAGCCGCCGUAA